CCCACGCCCUCCCAUCUCUCCCUCCUUCCUGCCGUCCCCCGCCUGAGGGAGGGGAGCGGUGCAGCAGACAUCCGAGGGCAGCUGGGACCCCCUGACUCAGCCGACGGGUGAGUCAGGCUCCCUGCAGGCCACACCGGACCCCCCCAGGGCGGGGAUUUCCCCAAGAUGAGAAAUCAGCCACCGGAAGUCACGCCGGACCUUGGACGGGCAGACAGAGGCUGGGAGGAGUUCUGGGUGCAGAGCCCCCCAACCUGUGCUCUCAUCUCUUGCUCUGGGGUAAGCCAGUGGCCAUGCUAUAAGGACACUCAAGCCACCCUAUGAAGAAGCCCACAUGAAGAGGAACUGAGAUAUCUGGCCAACAGCCAGCCAGUCACUGAGCCUGCCAACCACGCUGUGGCAGGUACCUCCAGCCCCAGACACCUGCAGCCUCCACUGAAAGCUCAAUGGCAGCCUCAUGAGACCCUGGACCGGAACCACCCAACGAAGCGGCUCCUGUAUUCCUGAUUGACAGAAACUACGGGAUCAUAAAUGCUUGCUGUUCAGUCUGCCAAGUGUUGGCGUGAUUUGUUAAACAGCAACCAGUAACUAAUACGCCACCCAUGGCUGCCGCGUUCCUGCUGUGGGGCCAGCACUAUUCCAUGCUUAGAGGCUCCAUCAAUACCUGUGAUGGACUAAAUGGCACGGUGGCUCACACCUAUAAUCUCACCACUUUGGGAGGCCGAAGUGGGAAGAUUGCUUGAGCCCAGAAGUUGGAGACCAGCCUGGGCAACACAGCAAGACCCCUGUCUCUACCGAAAAUGAAAAAAAUUAGCUGGGCAUGGCAGUGUGCACUUGGGAGCUACUCAGGAGGCUGAAGCGGGAGGAUCACUUGAGCUCAGGAGUUCAAGGCUGCAUUGAGCUAUGAUGGCACCACUGCAGUCCAGCCUAGGAGACAGAGCUAGACCCUGUCUCUAAAAAUAAAUAAAUAAAUAAUCUCGGCAUUUCUCAUCCUAAUUG
RNAcentral lists this long non-coding RNA (996 nucleotides) under Homo sapiens (human). RNAcentral describes it as "HSALNT0001498". Lineage: Eukaryota; Metazoa; Chordata; Mammalia; Primates; Hominidae. The record is from RNAcentral.